This 361-nucleotide RNase P RNA is filed under the name Lachnospiraceae bacterium. RNAcentral's name for it is "RNase P RNA component class A". It matches the Rfam family "Bacterial RNase P class A". From Rfam's summary of the family: Ribonuclease P (RNase P) is a ubiquitous endoribonuclease, found in archaea, bacteria and eukarya as well as chloroplasts and mitochondria. Lineage: Bacteria; Bacillati; Bacillota; Clostridia; Lachnospirales; Lachnospiraceae. The record is from RNAcentral.
CGAGUCUGAUAAAUGAUCGCGCCUUUUCAUUCCGAAAGGAGAAAGGUGAGGAAAGUCCGGGCUUCACAGGGCAGGAUGCCGGAUAACGUCCGGUGGAGGCGACUCUAAGGAUAGUGCAACAGAAAUAUACCGCCGCUUUUUCUUUUGAAGAAGCGGUAAGGGUGGAAGGGUAAGGUAAGAGCUUACCGGUUUCCUGGUAACAGGAGGCGUCCUAUGUAAACCCCAUCCGAAGCAAGGCCGUGAAAGGAACUAUGAUUUCGCCCGAAUCGUUCUUUGGUAGGCCGCUAAAGCCUGUUGGCAACAGCAGGACAAGAUAGAUGAUCAUUCGCGACAUAACCCGGCUUAUCGUCAGGCUCGUUUU